GACGAACGCUGGCGGCGUGCUUAACACAUGCAAGUCGAACGGAAAGGCCCUGCUUUUGUGGGGUGCUCGAGUGGCGAACGGGUGAGUAACACGUGAGUAACCUGCCCUUGACUUUGGGAUAACUUCAGGAAACUGCGGCUAAUACCGGAUAGGAGCUCCUGCUGCAUGGUGGGGGUUGGAAAGUUUCGGCGGUUGGGGAUGGACUCGCGGCUUAUCAGCUUGUUGGUGGGGUAGUGGCUUACCAAGGCUUUGACGGGUAGCCGGCCUGAGAGGGUGACCGGCCACAUUGGGACUGAGGUACGGCCCAGACUCCUACGGGGGGCAGCAGUGGGGAAUAUUGCACAAUGGGCGGAAGCCGGAUGCAGCAACGCCGCGUGCGGGAUGACGGCCUUCGGGUUGUAAACCGCUUUCUCCUGUGACGAAGCGUGAGUGACGGUAAUGGGUAAAGAAGCACCGGCUAACUACGU
RNAcentral lists this ribosomal RNA (467 nucleotides) under uncultured bacterium. RNAcentral's name for it is "partial 16S ribosomal RNA". It matches the Rfam family "Bacterial small subunit ribosomal RNA", at positions 28 to 506 of the family's 1533-position model. The record is from RNAcentral.